RNAcentral lists this ribosomal RNA (292 nucleotides) under uncultured bacterium. RNAcentral's name for it is "partial 16S ribosomal RNA". It matches the Rfam family "Bacterial small subunit ribosomal RNA", at positions 505 to 796 of the family's 1533-position model. The record is from RNAcentral.
GUGUCAGCAGCCGCGGUAAUACGGGGGGGGCAAGCGUUGUUCGGAAUUACUGGGCGUAAAGGGCCAGUAGGCGGCCAACUAAGUCGGAUGUGAAAUCCCCAGGCUUAACCUGGGAACUGCAUCCGAUACUGGAUGGCUUGAAUUCGGGAGAGGGAUGCAGAAUUCCAGGUGUAGCGGUGAAAUGCGUAGAUAUCUGGAGGAAUACCGGUGGCGAAGGCGGCAUCCUGGACCGACAUUGACGCUGAACGGCGAAAGCUAGGGGAGCAAACGGGAUUAGAAACCCUCGUAGUCC